UGCGUAGGCGGCUUGGUAAGUCACGUGUGAAAGGCCGGGGCUCAACCCCGGAUCUGCAUGUGAGACUGCCUGGCUCGAGCACGGUAGAGGCGGGCGGAAUUCCUGGUGUAGCGGUGGAAUGCGUAGAUAUCAGGAAGAACACCGGUGGCGAAGGCGGCUCGCUGGGCCGUUGCUGACGCUGAGGCACGAAAGCGUGGGGAGCAAACAGGAUUAGAUACCCUGGUAGUCCACGCCCUAAACGAUGGACACUAGGCGUCGGGGGGAGCGACCCUCCCGGUGCCGUCGCUAACGCAAUAAGUGUCCCGCCUGGGGAGUACGGCCGCAAGGCUGAA
This 332-nucleotide ribosomal RNA is filed under the name uncultured bacterium. Its description in RNAcentral is "bacterial SSU rRNA". It matches the Rfam family "Bacterial small subunit ribosomal RNA", at positions 568 to 898 of the family's 1533-position model. The record is from RNAcentral.